Non-coding RNA from Schistosoma rodhaini, 45 nucleotides. NCBI's taxonomy places the organism in Eukaryota, Metazoa, Platyhelminthes, Trematoda, Strigeidida, Schistosomatidae. The record is from Rfam.
AUCCGAAUGACGGGUCCCAAAUAAGACGAAACGCAUGUCCCGAAU